AGCGAACGCUGGCGGCAGGCUUAACACAUGCAAGUCGAGCGGACCUUUCGGGGUCAGCGGCGGACGGGUGAGUAACGCGUGGGAACGUGCCUUCCGGUUCGGAAUAACCCUGGGAAACUAGGGCUAAUACCGGAUACGCUCUUAUGGGGAAAGGUUUACUGCCGGAAGAUCGGCCCGCGUCUGAUUAGCUAGUUGGUGGGGUAACGGCCUACCAAGGCGACGAUCAGUAGCUGGUCUGAGAGGAUGAUCAGCCACACUGGGACUGAGACACGGCCCAGACUCCUACGGGAGGCAGCAGUGGGGAAUAUUGGACAAUGGGCGCAAGCCUGAUCCAGCCAUGCCGCGUGAGUGAUGAAGGCCUUAGGGUUGUAAAGCUCUUUUAUCCGGGACGAUAAUGACGGUACCGGAGGAAUAAGCCCCGGCUAACUUCGUG
This 433-nucleotide ribosomal RNA is filed under the name uncultured bacterium. RNAcentral describes it as "partial 16S ribosomal RNA". It matches the Rfam family "Bacterial small subunit ribosomal RNA", at positions 29 to 507 of the family's 1533-position model. The record is from RNAcentral.